GCCAGUWGUSAUAUGCUUGUCUHAAAGAUUAUAAGCCAUGCACGUGUAAGUAUAAACAACUUGAAAUACAAACUUGUUUGUUAUACUGUGAAACUGCAGAUGGCUCAUUAAAUCAGUUAUAAUUUCUAUGAUGGUUGUAGUUUCUUUUUCUUUUUUCAUUUUUCGGAAUGAAGAGAGGGAGAUGAAAUACUAAAUGGAUAGCCGUACUAAUUGUGGAGCUAAUACAUGCAUUGAUGUUCAUAUUUUGAAUAUUACUGAAAAAGUCUCGAUUUUUAUUUCGAUAAGAAGAGGGAUGUGUUUAUUAGACGCGAAAUCAUGUUUCUUCGGAAACUACGGUGAAUCACAAUAACCUGAUCGAAUCGCACUUGAAUCAUUUUAAUGUUUCAUGGCGAUAGUUCAUUCAAAUUUCUGCUUUAUCAACUUUUGUCGGGUGUAUAGAGGACAUCUGAGGUGAUAACGAAUGGCGGGGAAUAAGGGUUCUUUUCCGGAGAGGGAGCCUGAGAAACGGCUACCACAUCCAAGGAAGGCAGCAGGCGCGCAAAUUACCCAAUCCUAACACAGGGAGGUAGUGACAAGAAAUAUCAAUACCGGGUUCUUUUAGAGCUUGGUAAUUGAAAUGAGUACAAUUUAAACCCCUUAACGAGGAUCAACUGGAGGGCAAGUCUGGUGCCAGCAGCCGCGGUAAUUCCAGCUCCAGUAGCGUAUAUUAAAGUUGUUGCAGUUAAAAAGCUCGUAGUUGGAGUUGUUGUGUUGAAUGAUUGGUUUGUUUGUUUGUCGGUUGUUUGAGUUUUUUUGCUUGAGCGAUUUGAUGAAUGCUUACCGCAACACAAUCCUUGAUGUUAUGUAUGAGUAUUUUUUACUUUGUUCAGAACAUCAUCCUUUACUUUGAAAAAAUUGGAGUGAUUCAAGCAGGCGAAAUUACAUAUUAAAAUCUUUUUUUUAAUAUAGAUUCAUUUUUGCUUCUGCACAUGUUAGCAUGGAAUAAUGCAAGAGGACUUGGGUUUUCUCUUUCAUUGGUUUCAGGAAUCCGAGUAAUGAUUGAUAGGGACAGUUGGGGGUGCUCGUACUCGACGGCCAGAGGUGAAAUUCUUGGAUUCGUUGAAGACGAACAACUGCGAAAGCAUUCACCAAGGAUGUCUUCUUUAAUCAAGAACGAAAGUUGGGGGAUCGAAGAUGAUCAGAUACCGUCGUAGUCCCAACCAUAAACGAUGCCGACCAGGGAUCAGCGAGCGUUGACUUUGUAUAAAAAUGAUUUCGGUUAUUUUUAUUACAAACCUCAUUAAUUUGAAACGACCUCGUUGGCACCUUGCGAGAAAUCACCAGUCUUUGGGCUCCGGGGGGAGUAUGGUCGCAAGGCUGAAACUUAAAGGAAUUGACGGAAGGGCACAACCAGCAGUGGAGCCUGUGGUUUAAAUUGACUCAACACGGGAAAACUUACCAGGUCCAGACAUCAUAAGGAUUGACAGAUUGAAGAUCUUUCUUGAUUUGAUGGUUGGUGGUGCAUGGCCGUUCUUAGUUGGUGGAGUGAUUUGUCUGGUUAAUUCCGUUAACGAACGAGACCUCAACCUGCCAAAUAGGUUGUUUCUUUGUUGAAAUUUGUUUGAUGAAGAUGGGUGUUUGUUUUUUCUGACUCGGCUUUUUUGUUGAUGUUGGAGAGCGCAUCCAGAGCCAAAUGGAAUUUGUUUUCUGUUUGAUUCUGCAACACUUCUUGGAGGGACUAUCAGUUCGCAUCUGAUGGAGGUUUGAGGCAAUAACAGGUCUGUGAUGCCCUUCGAUGUCCUGGGCUACACGCGCGCUACACUGAUACAUGCAUCAAGCAGUUCAUUAUUUUAUAAGUUGGUUCAAUUGAUUUUGAAUUUGACUUUGACACCUUUGCUGAUAAGCUUGGGGAAUCUUUGAACUUGUAUCGUGAUGGGGAUAGAUGAUUGCAAUUAUUCAUCUUCAACGAGGAAUUCCUAGUAAACGCGGCUCAUCAAGCCGCAUUGAAUACGUCCCUGCCCUUUGUACACACCGCCCGUCGCUGCUACCGAUUGAAUGGUUCAGCAAGUUUUACGGACUGGCGUCUUAUUUGAUUUUACGAUUGAAUGAGUUUUGGAUUUUUGAUAUUCGUAUUGAUUCCAUGUUUUUGCCGGGAAGUGACGCAAACUUGACCAUUUAGAGGAAGCAAAAGUCGUAACAAGG
This 2181-nucleotide ribosomal RNA is filed under the name Reticulamoeba sp. (lineage 3). Its description in RNAcentral is "bacterial SSU rRNA". It matches the Rfam family "Eukaryotic small subunit ribosomal RNA". The record is from RNAcentral. Lineage: Eukaryota; Cercozoa.